UUGAAAGGGAAACGAUUGAAGUCAGUCGUACCGACGAGAAAUCAACUUAUCGUGUGCGAACUUGUGGGCGUGCGUGAGUUUCGGCCUCGCUGUUUGCAUGUUUGUGCGCUUCGGGUGUACUUUUUCGUAUGGUAGGCCAACGUCAGUUUCGAUUAUCAUAAAAUGACCGGCGGAAUGUAGCUUCGAUUUCGGUUGAAGUGUUAUAGCCUCUGGUAGAUGUGGUGAUUGAGACUGAGGAUUGCAACGAAUACCCUUUGGGCUAUCCGUCUGGCCUCUGAAAGUUGCUCAGGUGCCGAAAGCGUGCUUACGGUCAUCUAAGAUAACGUUCAACAGGUUAGAACGUGAUUACAUUCGUUAAGGAUGUUGAC
This 368-nucleotide ribosomal RNA is filed under the name uncultured Glomeromycotina. RNAcentral's name for it is "eukaryotic LSU rRNA". The record is from RNAcentral. Lineage: Eukaryota; Fungi; Glomeromycota.